This 551-nucleotide ribosomal RNA is filed under the name Conus planorbis. RNAcentral describes it as "partial 16S ribosomal RNA". It matches the Rfam family "Bacterial large subunit ribosomal RNA", at positions 1797 to 2619 of the family's 2925-position model. Lineage: Eukaryota; Metazoa; Mollusca; Gastropoda; Neogastropoda; Conidae. The record is from RNAcentral.
CGCCUGUUUACCAAAAACAUGGCUUCGUGUUAGUACUAAGAUACGAAGUCGGACCUGCCCAGUGAGUUUUAAACGGCCGCGGUACUCUGACCGUGCAAAGGUAGCAUAAUCAUUUGCCUUAUAAUUGAAGGCUGGAAUGAAUGGUUUGACGAGAAUACACCUGUCUCUUUCUGAUUUCCUAGAAUUUUAUUUCUGGAUGAAAAAGUCCAGAUAGAAUUAAAAGACAAGAAGACCCUAUCGAGCUUUAGAUAAAUUAGUGGAGUAAGUAAAAUCAAUUCUAGAAAAAGAAAAGCUGCUAAACACUUUGGUUGGGGCAACCGAGGAGUAAAUGAAGCCUCCUUUAAAAUAAAUAACAGACUUGUGCUGAUCCAAAUUUUUUGAUCAAAGGAAUUAGUUACCGUAGGGAUAACAGCAUAAUCUUUUUUGAGAGCUCAUAUCGAAAAAAAGGUUUGUGACCUCGAUGUUGGACCAGAAUGUCCUAAAGAUGCAGAAGUCUUUAAGGGUUGGUCUGUUCGACCAUUAAAAUUCUACGUGAUCUGAGUUCAGACCGG